This 75-nucleotide transfer RNA is filed under the name Oceanobacillus halophilus. RNAcentral describes it as "tRNA-Glu". It matches the Rfam family "tRNA". Rfam says of the family: Transfer RNA (tRNA) molecules are approximately 80 nucleotides in length. Their secondary structure includes four short double-helical elements and three loops (D, anti-codon, and T loops). Further hydrogen bonds mediate the characteristic L-shaped molecular structure. tRNAs have two regions of fundamental functional importance: the anti-codon, which is responsible for specific mRNA codon recognition, and the 3' end, to which the tRNAs corresponding amino acid is attached (by aminoacyl-tRNA synthetases). tRNAs cope with the degeneracy of the genetic code in two manners: having more than one tRNA (with a specific anti-codon) for a particular amino acid; and 'wobble' base-pairing, i.e. permitting non-standard base-pairing at the 3rd anti-codon position. The record is from RNAcentral. Lineage: Bacteria; Bacillati; Bacillota; Bacilli; Caryophanales; Bacillaceae.
GGCCUGUUGGUCAAGCGGUUAAGACACCGCCCUUUCACGGCGGUAACACGGGUUCGAAUCCCGUACGGGUCAUCA